CUCUUCUACUCUGCCAAUGAUAAUUUUUCUUUGAGUGGUUAUUCUGACAGUGAUUGGGCUGCUUGCCCUGAUAUCCGAAGGUCUGUUACUGGAUUUUCUGUUCUUCUGGGUGGUUCUUUAAUCAGCUGGAAAUCUAAGAAACAACCUGUUGUGUCUUUAUCAUCUGUUGAGGCAGAGUAUCGGGCUUUAAGCAAAAUUGUGGCUGAGCUUUCCUGGUUAUCUCGCUUGUUAUCUGAUCUUGGUGUUCCUAUUUCCCUUCCAAUUUCUGUCUACUGUGAUAGUCAAUCUGCCAUACACAUUGCUACUAAUCCUGUUUUCCAUGAACGCACAAAGCAUAUAAUUGCUGUCUAUUCCUAUUUCUGUUUACUGUGAUAGUCAAUCUGCCAUACACAUUGAUACUAAUCCUGUUUUCCAUGAACGCACAAAGCAUAUAGAGGUGGACUGUCACUUUGUGCGUGAUCAGGUCAAGGCUUCAUCAAGUUGUUACAUGUAUCUACUUCUCGGCAACUGACUGAUUUUCUCACCAAGCCCCUAACCGGCACUGCUCUACAUCCGCUGCUGUCCAAGUUGAAGGUGGUGUCCCCCUCCAACUUGAGGGGGGGUGUUGACUUACAAGAUUACAUGGCUUCUAAGCCAN
This 637-nucleotide long non-coding RNA is filed under the name Nicotiana benthamiana. Its description in RNAcentral is "long non-coding RNA (NBEN_LNC017030)". Lineage: Eukaryota; Viridiplantae; Streptophyta; Magnoliopsida; Solanales; Solanaceae. The record is from RNAcentral.